UGGGGAAUCUUGGACAAUGGGCGCAAGCCUGAUCCAGCCAUGCCGCGUGAGUGAAGAAGGCCUUCGGGUUGUAAAGCUCUUUUGGCGGGGAAGAUAAUGACGGUACCCGCAGAAUAAGCUCCGGCUAACUUCGUGCCAGCAGCCGCGGUAAUACGUAGGGACCAAGCGUUGUUCGGAUUUACUGGGCGUAAAGGGCGCGUAGGCGGUGUGUCAAGUCAGUUGUGAAAUCUCCGAGCUUAACUCGGAACGGUCAACUGAUACUGUCACACUAGAGUACAGAAGGGGCAAUCGGAAUUCUUGGUGUAGCGGUGAAAUGCGUAGAUAUCAAGAGGAACACCUGAGGCGAAGGCGGGUUGCUGGGCUGAUACUGACGCUGAGGCGCGAAAGCUAGGGUAGCAAACGGGAUUAGAUACCCAUGUAGUCCCUGAGCGGGCUGGCAAGGCGCAU
Molecule: ribosomal RNA, 447 nt
Filed under: uncultured bacterium
Lineage: Bacteria
Description: bacterial SSU rRNA
Rfam family: Bacterial small subunit ribosomal RNA
Source: RNAcentral